AGCAGCCGCGGUAAUUCCAGUUCCAAUAGCGUAUAUUAAAGUUGUUGCAGUUAAAAAGCUCGUAGUUGAACUUCGGGGUUCACCCAUUGGUCAGGCUUAAUUGUCUGCACUGGUGAGAUGAAUCUCUACCUUCUGAGGAACUUUCAUGCCAUUUAUUUGGUGUGAUUGGAAAUCAGGACUGUUACUUUGAAAAAUUAGAGUGUUUAAAGCAGGCUAACGUCUGAAUACAUUAGUAUGGAAUAAUGAAAUAGGACGGAUUGAUUCUAUUUCGUUGGUUUCUAGGAUCACCGUAAUGAUUAAUAGGGAUAGUUGGGGGCAUUAGUAUUCAAUUGUCAGAGGUGAAAUUCUUGGAUUUAUUGAAGACUAACUACUGCGAAAGCAUUUGCCAAGGAUGUUUUACAUUAAUCAAGAACGAAAGUUAGGGGAUCGAAGACGAUCAGAUACCGUCGUAGUCUUAACCAUAAACUAUGCCGACUAGGGAUCGGACGCAGUUAAUUUUAUAAUGACGUGUUCGGUACC
Molecule: ribosomal RNA, 519 nt
Filed under: uncultured Diversispora
Lineage: Eukaryota; Fungi; Glomeromycota; Glomeromycetes; Diversisporales; Diversisporaceae
Description: SSU rRNA
Rfam family: Eukaryotic small subunit ribosomal RNA
Source: RNAcentral